Long non-coding RNA from Mytilus californianus (California mussel), 1116 nucleotides. RefSeq lists it as uncharacterized. NCBI's taxonomy places the organism in Eukaryota, Metazoa, Mollusca, Bivalvia, Mytilida, Mytilidae. The transcript has 2 exons. The record is from RefSeq and is a predicted model, not a curated record.
AUUUUUGUCGAGCCUGCGACUUUUGUCGCAGAAAGCUCGACAUAGGGAUAGCGAUCCGGCGGCGGCGGCGGCGGCGGCUACGGCGGCGGCGGCGGCGGCGUUAGCUAACUUCUUAAAAGCUUUAUAUUUUAGAAGGUGGAAGGUCUGGAUGCUUCAUACUUUGUAUAUGGAUGCCUCAUGUUACGAAGUUUCCGUCAGUCACAUGUCCAAUGUCCUUGACCUCAUUUUCAUGGUUCAGUGACUACUUGAAAAAAAAGUUAAGAUUUUUUGUAAUGUUAGAUUCUCUCUUAUUAUAAGUAAUAAGAUAACUAUAUUUGGUAUGUGCGUACCUUGCAAGGUCCUCAUGCCCGUCAGACAGUUUUCACUUGACCUCGACCUCAUUUCAUGGAUCAGUGAACAAGGUUAAGUUUUGGUGGUCAAGUCCAUAUCUCAGAUACUAUAAGCAAUAGGUCUAGUAUAUUCGGUGUAUGGAAGGACUGUAAGGUGUACAUGUCCAACUGGCAGGUGUCAUCUGACCUUGGCCUCAUUUUCAUGGUUCAGUGGUUAUAGUUAAGUUUUUGUGUUUUGGUCUGUAUUUCUUAUACUGUAUGCCAUAGUUCUACUAUAUUUGGUGUAUGGAAUGAUUGUAAGGUGUACAUGUCUAGCGGGCAGGUGUCAUCUGACCUUGACCUCAUUUUCAUGGUUCAGUGGUCAAAGUUAAGUUUUUUGAGUUUUGGUCUUUUUUCUAAUACUAUAUGCAAUAGUUCAACUAUAUUUGGUGUAUGGAAAUAUUUUAUGAUCUAUUUGGCAGUCACACAGGUUUUAUUUAACCUUGACCUCAUUUUCAAGGUUCAUUGCUCAGUGUUAAGUUUUUGUGUUUUGGUCUGUUUUUCUUAAACUAUAAGCAAUAGGUCAACUAUAUUUGUUGUAUGGAAGAAUUGUUAGCUGUACAUGCCUGCCUAGCAUGGUUCAUCUGACCUUGACCUCAUUUUCAUGGUUCAUUGGUCAAUGUUAAGGUUACUUGGUUUAUGUUAAGUUUAUGUGACAGUUGUAAUAAAGCUUUAUAUUUAGGACUAUCAACAUAAUAUCAAUGAUUAGUAAAGAAGGCGAGACAUUUCAGCGUGUGCACUCUUGUUU